Molecule: ribosomal RNA, 372 nt
Filed under: uncultured organism
Description: bacterial SSU rRNA
Rfam family: Bacterial small subunit ribosomal RNA
Source: RNAcentral
CGUAGGGUGCGAGCGUUAAUCGGAAUUACUGGGCGUAAAGUGUGCGCAGGUGGCCGCGCAUGUCGAGUGUGAAAUCCCCGGGCUUAACUUGGGAAUUGCGCUCGAAACUACGUGGCUGGAGUGUGGCAGAGGGAGGUGGAAUUCCACGUGUAGCGGUGAAAUGCGUAGAGAUGUGGAGGAACACCAAUGGCGAAGGCAGCCUCCUGGGCCAACACUGACACUCAUGCACGAAAGCGUGGGGAGCAAACAGGAUUAGAUACCCUGGUAGUCCACGCCCUAAACGAUGAUGACUAGUUGUUGGGGGAGUUAAAUCCCUUAGUAACGCAGCUAACGCGCGAAGCCAUCCGCCUGGGGAGUACGGUCGCAAGAUUA